RNAcentral lists this ribosomal RNA (292 nucleotides) under uncultured bacterium. Its description in RNAcentral is "partial 16S ribosomal RNA". It matches the Rfam family "Bacterial small subunit ribosomal RNA", at positions 505 to 796 of the family's 1533-position model. The record is from RNAcentral.
GUGUCAGCAGCCGCGGUAAUACGAAGGGGGCUAGCGUUGUUCGGAAUUACUGGGCGUAAAGGGCGCGUAGGCUGUGCUGUAAGUCAGGCGUGAAAGCCCCGGGCUCAACCUGGGAAUUGCGCUUGAUACUGCGGCGCUGGAAGGUGGGAGAGGAUGGCGGAAUUCCCAGUGUAGAGGUGAAAUUCGUAGAUAUUGGGAAGAACACCGGUGGCGAAGGCGGCCAUCUGGCCCACAAUUGACGCUGAGGCGCGAAAGCGUGGGGAGCAAACAGGAUUAGAUACCCUGGUAGUCC